GACGAACGCUGGCGGCGUGCUUAACACAUGCAAGUCGAGCGGUAAGGCUCCUUCGGGAGUACACGAGCGGCGAACGGGUGAGUAACACGUGAGCAAUCUGCCCUUCUCAUCGGAAUAACCACUGGAAACGAUGGCUAAUGCCGAAUACGACUUCCUUUCGCAUGUCAGGAAGUGGAAAGCUCCGGCGGAGAAGGAUGAGCUCGCGGCCUAUCAGCUUGUUGGUGAGGUAAUGGCUCACCAAGGCGGCGACGGGUAGCCGGCCUGAGAGGGUGACCGGCCACACGGGGACUGAGACACGGCCCAGACUCCUACGGGAGGCAGCAGUGGGGAAUAUUGGACAAUGGGCGAAAGCCUGAUCCAGCAACGCCGCGUGAGGGAUGACGGCCUUCGGGUUGUAAACCGCUUUCAGCAGGGACGAAGCGAAAGUGACGGUACCUGCAGAAGAAGGACCGGCCAACUACGUGCCAGCCGCCGCCGUAA
Molecule: ribosomal RNA, 480 nt
Filed under: uncultured bacterium
Lineage: Bacteria
Description: partial 16S ribosomal RNA
Rfam family: Bacterial small subunit ribosomal RNA
Source: RNAcentral